This 107-nucleotide ribosomal RNA is filed under the name uncultured eukaryote. RNAcentral's name for it is "partial small subunit ribosomal RNA". It matches the Rfam family "Eukaryotic small subunit ribosomal RNA", at positions 1676 to 1785 of the family's 1831-position model. The record is from RNAcentral.
UCGCUUCUACCGAUUGAACGAUCCGGUGAAUUAUUUGGACUGAUAAACGUUGCUCUUAGCAUCGUUCAUUACGAAAUUUUGUGAACCUUAUCGUUUAGAGGAAGGAA